This 705-nucleotide ribosomal RNA is filed under the name Patinoa sphaerocarpa. Its description in RNAcentral is "eukaryotic LSU rRNA". The stretch from base 290 to 445 matches the Rfam family "5.8S ribosomal RNA". Lineage: Eukaryota; Viridiplantae; Streptophyta; Magnoliopsida; Malvales; Malvaceae. The record is from RNAcentral.
CCUGCCCAGCAGAACGACCCGCGAACGCGUUGCUAACAAAACAUCGCGGGGGGGUGAGGAYGCAUUCGUGCCCCGAGCCCUCUCGGUGCCCCGGUGCGCGUGGCCUUGCCUCGCCACGCCUCGUAGGCGUGUGGGAUGCUCGAUCUCGUCGCUCGUGGCCGAACAACCAACCCCCGGCGCGAAUCGCGCCAAGGAAUCGAAAUCGAAGAGAGCACGCUUGCUGCCGUCGCCCCGUUCGCGGUGUUCGAGCGGCGGCAACGUGACUCCUUCCGUYGCAAAGAUGUAAAACGACUCUCGGCAACGGAUAUCUUGGCUCUCGCAUCGAUGAAGAACGUAGCGAAAUGCGAUACUUGGUGUGAAUUGCAGAAUCCCGUGAACCAUCGAGUCUUUGAACGCAAGUUGCGCCCCAAGCCAUUAGGCCGAGGGCACGUCUGCCUGGGUGUCACGCAUCGUCGCCCCCCAUCGACCCGCAGCCCCUCGGGCGUCGGUCGAAACGGGGGCGGAAAUCGGCCUCCCGUGCGCUCCCCGCUCACGGUUGGCCUAAAAUUCAGUCCCGGGCAACGACAGCCGCGCGACGAUCGGUGGUAACGCUCCGAGCCGCCUCGUCUCCGGUUGCGCGCGCUCGUCGCUCGCUCGGGCCCUCGAACCCUUUUGCAUCCCGCGAACGAUGCUCGCAUCGCGACCCCAGGUCAGGCGGGAUCACCC